Molecule: ribosomal RNA, 451 nt
Filed under: uncultured bacterium
Lineage: Bacteria
Description: bacterial SSU rRNA
Rfam family: Bacterial small subunit ribosomal RNA
Source: RNAcentral
GUGGGGAAUUGUUCGCAAUGGACGCAAGUCUGACGACGCAACGCCGCGUGGAGGAUGAAGGUCUUCGGAUUGUAAACUCCUGUUGACCGGGACGAAUUCCUUCGGAGCUAACACCUCUGGAGGGUGACGGUACCGGUUGAGGAAGCCCCGGCUAACUCUGUGCCAGCAGCCGCGGUAAUACAGAGGGGGCAAGCGUUGUUCGGAAUUACUGGGCGUAAAGGGCGCGUAGGCGGCCGACUGAGUCAGACGUGAAAUCCCCAGGCUCAACCUGGGAACUGCGUCUGAGACUGGUUGGCUCGAGUUCGGGAGAGGGAUGUGGAAUUCCAGGUGUAGCGGUGAAAUGCGUAGAUAUCUGGAGGAACACCGGUGGCGAAGGCGGCAUCCUGGACCGACACUGACGCUGAGGCGCGAAAGCCAGGGGAGCAAACGGGAUUAGAAACCCGUGUAGUCC